AUUGAACGCUGGCGGCAUGCUUUACACAUGCAAGUCGAACGGUAACAGGCCUUCGGGUGCUGACGAGUGGCGAACGGGUGAGUAAUGCAUCGGAACGUGCCCAGAGGUGGGGGAUAACGCAGCGAAAGCUGUGCUAAUACCGCAUGUGAUCUGAGGAUGAAAGCGGGGGACCAGGCAGCAAUGUUUGGCCUCGCGCCUUUGGAGCGGCCGAUGUCAGAUUAGGUAGUUGGUGGGGUAAAGGCCUACCAAGCCGACGAUCUGUAGCUGGUCUGAGAGGACGACCAGCCACACUGGGACUGAGACACGGCCCAGACUCCUACGGGAGGCAGCAGUGGGGAAUUUUGGACAAUGGGCGCAAGCCUGAUCCAGCAAUGCCGCGUGCGGGAAGAAGGCCUUCGGGUUGUAAACCGCUUUUGUACGGAACGAAAAGGCUCUGGCUAAUACCUGGGGCUGACGACGGUACCGUAAGAAUAAGCACCGGCUAACUACGUG
RNAcentral lists this ribosomal RNA (492 nucleotides) under uncultured bacterium. RNAcentral's name for it is "partial 16S ribosomal RNA". It matches the Rfam family "Bacterial small subunit ribosomal RNA", at positions 30 to 507 of the family's 1533-position model. The record is from RNAcentral.